CACAAUUUAUUCAAUACUAUCUCUCAAAAUACCUUGUUCACAACUACAAUUAAAAAUGAAUUCCUUCUCUGCAAACGCCGCCAAGAUGGUGUUCAGGCGCUUUGUGGAGGUUGGCCGGGUAGCCUACAUCUCCUUUGGACCUCAUGCUGGAAAAUUAAUUGUGAUCAUAGAUGUUACUGAUCAGAACAGGGCACUCAAGUGAGGAGACAGGCCAUGCCUUUCAAGUACAUGCAGCUCACUGAUUUCAUCCUCAAGUUUCCACACGGUUCCCGCCAGAAGUAUGUCCCACAAGCCUGGCAGAAGGCAGACAUCAAUACAAAAUGGGCAGCCACAAGAUGGGCCAAAAAGAUUGAAGCCAGAGAAAGGAAAGCCAAGAUGACAGAUUCUGAUCAUUUUAAAGUAAUGAGGGCAAAGAAAAUGAGAGACAGAAUAAUAAAACAUCAAGUAAAGAAGCUUCAAAAGGCAGCUCUCCUGAAAGCUUCUCCCAAAAAAGCGGCUGCUGCUAAAGUUACAGCAAAAAAAGAUGACCGCUGUGGGCAAGAAGGCUCCAGCCCAGAAGGUUCCUGUCCAGAAAGCCACAUGACAGAAGGCAGCACCCCCUCCAAAAACUCAGAAGGGUCAAAAAGCUCCAGCCCAGAAAGCACCUGCUCCAAAGGCACCUGGCAAGAAGGCAUAAGAGACAAUUAUAAAAAGUAAUAUGGCUCUUUCUGAAAAACAAAAACAAAAAUA
This is a non-coding RNA of Chlorocebus sabaeus (green monkey), 729 nucleotides long. The record is from RefSeq and is a predicted model, not a curated record. NCBI's taxonomy places the organism in Eukaryota, Metazoa, Chordata, Mammalia, Primates, Cercopithecidae.